Molecule: ribosomal RNA, 628 nt
Filed under: uncultured bacterium
Lineage: Bacteria
Description: bacterial SSU rRNA
Rfam family: Bacterial small subunit ribosomal RNA
Source: RNAcentral
CCUACGGGAGGCAGCAGUGAGGAAUAUUGGACAAUGGGCGCAAGCCUGAUCCAGCCAUGCCGCGUGCAGGAAGAAGCAUCUAUGGUGUGUAAACUGCUUUUGUACAGGAAGAAACACUCCCUCGUGAGGGAGCUUGACGGUACUGUAAGAAUAAGGACCGGCUAACUCCGUGCCAGCAGCCGCGGUAAUACGGAGGGUCCGAGCGUUAUCCGGAAUCAUUGGGUUUAAAGGGUCCGUAGGCGGUUUAAUAAGUCAGUGGUGAAAUCUGGUCGCUCAACGAUCAAACGGCCAUUGAUACUGUUAGACUUGAAUUAUAAGGAAGUAACUAGAAUAUGUAGUGUAGCGGUGAAAUGCUUAGAUAUUACAUGGAAUACCAAUUGCGAAGGCAGGUUACUACUUAUGGAUUGACGCUGAUGGACGAAAGCGUGGGGAGCGAACAGGAUUAGAUACCCUGGUAGUCCACGCCGUAAACGAUGGAUACUAGCUGUUCGGAGCAAUCUGAGUGGCUAAGCGAAAGUGAUAAGUAUCCCACCUGGGGAGUACGUUCGCAAGAANAGAACGUACAAAGAAAGUUAGUACGGCGUGAGACGUAGCCGAACGGACGACCGACCGACGGGGAGGGAGGGAG